This 203-nucleotide long non-coding RNA is filed under the name Linum usitatissimum (flax). Its description in RNAcentral is "long non-coding RNA (LUSI_LNC000034)". The record is from RNAcentral. Lineage: Eukaryota; Viridiplantae; Streptophyta; Magnoliopsida; Malpighiales; Linaceae.
CAUCGGGAGAGACGGACUGAGAGAUUGCAAAGGGGAAGAGAAGGAAAAGGGUCAGAACAGUACCGGUGAUUCCCGGACGGCGAGGCUUUUUCAUCUUUUUUUUUUUCUGAUUCUUCUUUACUGAGUGAGCUUUCGUCUGAGAGAGUGAAAUAGAAAGGUAAAUGGCGGGGGGAGAAAGCAAAGAAAUCUUGAGAAUCAAUGGA